RNAcentral lists this ribosomal RNA (496 nucleotides) under uncultured bacterium. RNAcentral describes it as "partial 16S ribosomal RNA". It matches the Rfam family "Bacterial small subunit ribosomal RNA", at positions 28 to 506 of the family's 1533-position model. The record is from RNAcentral.
GAUGAACGCUGGCGGCGUGCCUAAUACAUGCAAGUCGAGCGAACAGACGAGGAGCUUGCUCCUCUGACGUUAGCGGCGGACGGGUGAGUAACACGUGGAUAACCUACCUAUAAGACUGGGAUAACUUCGGGAAACCGGAGCUAAUACCGGGUAAUAUACUGAACCGCAUGGUUCAAUAGUGAAAGACGGUUUUGCUGUCACUUAUAGAUGGAUCCGCGCCGCAUUAGCUAGUUGGUAAGGUAACGGCUUACCAAGGGAACGGUGCGUAGCCGACCUGAGAGGGUGAUCGGCCACACUGGAACUGAGACACGGUCCAGACUCCUACGGGAGGCAGCAGUAGGGAAUCUUCCGCAAUGUGCGAAAGCCUGACGGAGCAACGCAGCGUGAGUGAUGAAGGUCUUCGGAUCGUAAAACUCUGUUAUUAGGGAAGAACAAAUGUGUAAGUAACGAUGCACGUCUUGACGGUACCUAUACAGAAAGCCACGGCUAACUACGU